Long non-coding RNA from Chenopodium quinoa (quinoa), 6197 nucleotides. RefSeq lists it as uncharacterized. Lineage: Eukaryota; Viridiplantae; Streptophyta; Magnoliopsida; Caryophyllales; Amaranthaceae. The transcript is spliced from 6 exons. The record is from RefSeq and is a predicted model, not a curated record.
ACGGUGUAAUUUUACAUCCACUUGCUGCUUGAGUUCUUCUACUUUUCCCCGCUUUUUCCUCAUGUCUCCACAUAUCCAAUUCUCCAUCAGUCUCUCUCUCUCUAAAAAUGCCUAAUUGUUAUCUGAGCUCUCAUUCUCUCUCCUCAAUCUCAAUUCUUCACUCUUCCACCGGUGACCCUUACCUUUCCAUUCCUUCAAUCUCGAUUUUCGACUCAUUCAGUUCUCUGUUGAAGUGGCUUCUUAGCUUUCUCUCUUCCAUUGAAGCAGUUUAUGAGAUGAAGAAAAAUUUAUUUGACUUGACCUCGAAACUCGGCUUUGAGUCCAAACUUGAAAGAUGAGCAGUCUUCUCGAUAAUCCUCUUGUGGGUACGAUCUUCUUCUUCAAUUUUUUUUUUUCAAUUCUUCGAUUUUUAUUUGUACUUGCUCGUGAAAUGAUGAAAUAGGUAUUUUGUUCUGGAUUUUGGAAUGUAAUUGAGUUCGAUUUUUUAUUUUUGAUAAUUGUUUUUACGAUUAAAUUAAUAAUUGAAUGAUCAGAGAUUUACUUGAAGGCGGUGAUGAUAAAUAAUAGUUUGAUAGUAAUCAAUUUUCAGUUUGAUUUUUGAAGGCAUUCUUGCUUUGGGUAGUUUGCCAUUUGGUUUAAUUUGGCAGCAAUAUGAUGGGUGUUUUGCAUGUUGAUGGGGUUGAAAUUUUCUCUCUCCUCAAAUACGCAUCUUUUCAGGUUUAGUUGGCCGUCAUGGUUGAUUUUUUCCUUGCUUGAGUUGCAAAACCAAAAUUUUUGUUUGAAGCUAUGCUGAUCUAAGCCUCCUCUGUCAAUUUAUUUAUUUAAUUUUUUUUUGUCAGAACUCAUUAUUUGUCAUGAAAAAAUGAAUUCGAUGAUUUGAAGAUGUUUUGAUGGACAAAUUUUAAGUUCAAAUUGUUUUAGAAUUACUGAAAGUCAGAUGGCAAAGGUUGAUUUUUUAUGUUUAAAUUUGAUGAACAUGACUAGAGAAGACAAUUGGUUAUGUAUGAGGGUAAAAUUUAUUUGAAAGCUAGGAUUCGAUGAGAAUUGUAUCACUUAUGCUUCUUAAAACAUAUAUUGUGAGGUUGUGUUGAUCAAAUAGCGCAGAUUAAAGCAUAUACUAUGAGGUUGUGUUGAAUUGUUGAUCAAAUAGGGGAAUGAAUAUGCUUUGUCCCCUAUCUCUCACUCUCCUCCAUUGAAGCGUACUCUGAAUUCUCUGUUGAAAUGGCUUCUGCCUUUGUAAGCUUUCUCUCCUUUAUUGAAGGAGGUUCUGAGGUAAGAUGUUUUUCUUAAUUAGUGACCAUCAGUUUAUAAUCUAGGGUUUAACGUUGAUUAAUACCAAGAAUGAGGCAGGGAGAGGUAAUGGGAGUUUCCCAAUGACCGUUUUGCCCCUCUCCUUAGGCGACCAUUGUUUACGGUGGUUAGCUUUUGCAGGUGAUUUAUCCAGACACUGUUAAAACGGUCCUCAAACAAUCUAUUUAGAACCAUAGCUGCUUUAUCUGUCUAUCUGAUCUGUGACUGUUUAACUCUGCUGAAUGCCUGAUUGCAUGCUUCUUGACCUUCUAACCACAAAAAUCACCAACCAUUAUAGGCUGUGAUGAGUGUACACCAUUCAAAGUAGUUAAAUUUAAUAUGGAGAAUUAUUUGAGGUUUUGGGUGAUUUUUUUUUUAUUUGGCUUGGCAGAAAGAUCAAUUGUUGGUUUAUUUUAUACGAUGUAUUAUUUUUAUUUUGUGGUUUGGUUUAGUUAGACUUUGGAAAUUAUUUGGCCCAAUCUUAUUGAUUGCCGCCAUGGUUGAUUUUACCAACUCGAAACCACCAGAUUAUUUGAUGAAAUGUGGAUCUGAGCCUGUUGUUAAAAAAAAAAAAAGUUGCAUUGUUGAAUUUUGGUAAUACUUUUACAACUUUUUAAAGUCACCCCAAGCUACAGUGCUACACUUUAACAUAUGUGGAGUACAUAUGAUAUAAUAUUGUAGUUCUUUAUAGUUUGAAUAAUAGCUAUGGUUCCCUUAUUUUUGGACAUGUUAGUUUGAAAUAAUGUCUUGAUUCGAUUAUGAAUGUUAAUGCACAAAGCAUUGAAGGGUAUCAGUAUUUUCUGCAAUGUUUACAAAUAGAAGACUUAUAUGUAAUUAGAACCGGAAAUAGAAAUGGAUAAUUAACUGAAGAUACUUUAGUUUCUGAAAAAUCAUAGUGAACAUCCUUCUUGGAACUUUGGUUGCAAUAUAACAUACUAUGGAGUACAUUGGACAUGAGAACAAGGUUUGGACUUUGGACUGAAUGCAGGUGUCAAUCUUACGUUGUUCAAGUAGUAACUUUUCUUGAAGGUAUUCAAAGUGUCCUGGUUUCUUAUCAUGAUAAUUUACCUAUUGUGGUUCGAUAAAGAGCCUGAGUUUCAUAAAGCCUGAUAGAGAUUAUUAGCUUUUCCUAUGUUUCCUAUGCGCAGCUGAUUUCCAGCAUACAUCUCUGUCCUCUCACUCUCUCCUCCAUUGUGGCGCACUCCGAGUUUCCCAUUGAAGCGUUAUCUAAGCUUCCUACAUUGAAACUUCUUGUGAUCUGAGGUAAAUUUUUAUCCUUCUUUAUGACCAUUGAGUAUGAAUUUGACAAUCUACGGUUUAAUUCUACUCAUUGUUUCAUUUAGUUGUUAGUAUAAUCAAUAUAGGGAAUCAUUGAAAUAUUUUUUUUCUAAUUACUGAAGUUAUGAGCUAUUAUAAUGAAUAAUUUUGUUGCUACUUUUUGCUAUGUGUGUGCGAUUUAAUCUGAUUACAUGAAGAAUUAUAUGAAUCAUGAAAUUUGGCCGGAAAAUAUUUUUAAAGUCUGACUAAUAAUUAUAUGUUAUACCCUAAUUUUUUAAUUUUUUUUAAUAAAUAUUCUGGUUUAAAGAUUUGAAUUACAAGGAUGAAGGAUUGAAAUCAUCGAAAUAUUGAUCAUCGUGUAAAAAUGUAUAUAGUAUAUGCAAGCUUGACUGUAGGAGCGGAUUCAAAAUUGCAUCCAAUGUUCUUUUGUCUUGAGGUGAUUGGAAAACUGAGCGUCUUUGAUAUAGGGAUGUUUGAUUGUAAUGCGCUAACUGCUAAGUGCUAGAAACUUAACAUACUUGAUUCUUUGGUGCAGUAUUGCUGCCAGAUGGCCUCUUGUACAGAUUUGUCAAUUAUGCUAUUUACAAAAUCAAUGCAGUGUUGCUAGUAUACUAAUCAUUUUGUAUUUCGCAGUAGAGUAGUAGAAACUAUUAACUAAGAAUGCCGGGGAGAAGACUAUUGAGUGGUUAGACAAGUUAGGAAAUUCAAAUGGUUCUCUUCCAGCAUCCCAAAUCCGUUUGAAUAUGCUACAAGUAAAUGCAAAAUAAUGGUAUGAUUCUUCGUACGCAUAGUACAUUGGAGUAAGGUAUGCUAAUGCUUGUGAUUCUUGUAUUGGAUGUUUCUCGUUUUUAGUAAUGUUGCUCAUCCCAAUAUAAUUCGCCUUUUUGUAGCCAUUGAGGUUGAGAUUAUCAUUGUAGCCAUCCCAAUAUUAUGUCCAUGCUGAUUAAUUAUGUUUGUCAGACCCGAGAUUGAUGCUUGUUGGCAAUUGUAGGCCUCUAUUCAUAUAUCUAACUCUCUAGAAAGCUAUUAUAGUAAUUGUAAACAGCUGUGAAUAUGGUCGUGUCUUUGGGUGGGUAUCAAUAUGGAUGCUCUAAAUUUUAUUGAAAUAAAUCCGGACCUUAAUUGCUAGCCCAAGGAAAGUUAUUGCUAGCUGCUUACUGAAUGCAAUAUUUGAUAGAUUAGGUAGCUGAAGUAUAUCUCAAGGAAGAAAGUGGCUAAUAGAUGGUGGGCUGAAAAUCAACCAAUAUUAUGUUUCCCUCUUAUGCAGCUUAUUACUUCUUCGAGCACCAAUUAAUCUUUGUCAUGUUUUAAGGAUUCAUGCUCUGUCCAUGAAUAGUAUGUGGAUGAUGUGGUACAAGCUAAUUGGUGUUACUUGCAGAAGUCAAAUAAGCUAAGGGGAAGUAUAAUAACACAAAAUCUAAUCCAAUUUUAUUACUAAAUUUGGGUUGAUGAUAUUUUGCAAUUAUAUGAAUAGUUAUAAAUUUUUUUGGGUUUCCUUUGUAAGAAUAUUUGUAUUAACCACUUAUCUAAAACCAAUUAUGUUCUUGAAAUAUUUGUAAGAUUAUUUGGCAUAUUUUUCUUUUCUUUGUGAAUACUUAUUUCCUAUCCUUCUCACCUUGUCAGCAAUAGAGAAGGUUUUAUUUAUUUGAUUAUUUAUUACUCGUAGUUUAAUAACAAGUUGUCCCAAUUGACAUUUUUGUACGUACGUAGUGUCUAUGACUUUGAUUUGCGUUGUCACCAUAGCUGCAAUGAACAAGGCACCAGCGCUAACGCUUCUGUUCAAAAUAAAGACAAUGAUUCUGUUGCAGCAUCUUAGUAGAAGGGUGUUGAUUGUCCGUCACAGAGAGAGGAAGAAAUAUAAAGUGAAGCUAUUGACUUUUGAACACGAGGCUGCUUUCCCCCUUUUCCUUUGAAGCAUACUCUCAGUUAGCCUCCUCCAUUGAAGUGUUCCUCUGAGUUCUCCUUUGAAGUGGUUUCUGAUAUGUCUAUUUGUUUUUUCGUCGACACCGCUACUGAGAUGCGUGUGGAAGUCUGGCGAAAGAGCAGCAAGCAACAGGAGUUGCAAUUCUGCUUCAAAUUAUGAUGCUGCUUCUUGCUUAUGUACUUGGUCAUGUUUUGCGUCGCCAUAAAUUUUAUUAUCUUCCUUAAGCUAGCGCUUCUCUUUUGAUUGGGUUUGGGAAGUGUGAGAAGCUAAUCUAUUGACUGUAUUGAGGAUAAAGAAGCUGAUUGUGUGAUAAAGAAUGGGACUUCUGAAUAGAUGGUGAAGAUAGUAGAAACACUCAAUGCAGGUAAAGGUCAUGUAAAAGGUUGGGAGUCUACUUUAUGAAGACUUGGGAGAAAGAAAUUUGAUAUAGUUUUUUUUUUUUGAACGGAAUUUGAUAUAGUUCAUGAAGCAGCUCAAAUCAAAGUAAUACACAUUAUUCAAAAGAGUAUCAGAGAACUUAAACUACUUGAUUUAAUUGCAUAUAGUGCAUAUAAGAUGUAAGCAUUAAAUAUCUCGCAGGACUCUGCUAAAACUAUUGAUCAUGUCUCACAAGGUAGCUUCUUGGACAUGUUCCAAAUGAAGCAUGCUUUUGGACUUACAAUAAGUCUUGUGUUCAUGGAACGAGCAUCAUGUGGUGGAACAAAUGGUAUUUUGUUUUAUGCAGCUACAACUUUAUAAAUGUGGAAGACUAUCAAUUUUACUGGUGAGUAUCCUAUGUGAUGUAACAUAUAUCCUGUGCUUUUAUACUACGUAUAUGAUUUUCUGUAUUAUUUGGCGAUUCAAGGUUAUUUGUCGCAAAAUCUGGAUGUCCUUUGUGUCCUAUGUUUUUGUGCAAAUAUGAGAAUUUACUCAACUUUUGAAUUAUUUUCCAUAAUUCUUCAUGAAUUUUACAAAGUAAAAUAGCCAUGAUGGAAGAAUUGAAACAAGAACAUUUACAUAAUUACAGUAUGCAUGAAGAAGGCUUCAACAAUAAUUUAAGAUGUUCAUGGUGAGUUUGAAGCUAUCUUAUGCGAAGUACUUCAAUAUCCAUUCACGUUAAUGGCACUGACACUUUUAUCUUUUAUGCUUUUGCUACUUUUGUUUCUGUUGUUGAGGAAUUGUGGAUUGGGAUGGGAUGUUUCUUAUGGACUAUACAAAUGUGAUGUCAUCUUGUUGUAGUAUUAUAGUUGAACAUGUACCAAUGUCAUACUCAAAUUUCCCUUGUUUCUUGCAAGUAUAUGACAAUGAAACUAAUGUUUUUUCAGGCUGAAUACAUGCAAUAUUAAAACUUCAAUAUGCAUUAUGAGUCUGACUAUGCAGAAACCUCUUGAUCUCCAACUUUCAGCCGGUGAAUUUAGUGGCCAAUGUGUUGAUGAAGUUAUAAAGAAGAUUAUAAAUGGUAGAAAUAACAAUAAUUGUAAAUUUUAUGUUCUUGGUGGAAUUAUAUUAUUAAUUUUUACAAAUUCUCACACUACAUAUUUGGCUUGUGCUAAAAUUAUUGUUUAGCUUAGGAUUAAUUAAUUCUAGCAUUUACUCUCUCUAGACCACUACCAUGUACUUAGGUUGUUACAAUCAAUCUGAUCAAAUUUAAAAUGGCUAGAGAUUUGGGUGAAUGAGGCUCACUAUAGAUGGACAACGUUUGAGUUUUCGCAUUUGUCAAUGAACA